RNAcentral lists this ribosomal RNA (464 nucleotides) under uncultured bacterium. RNAcentral's name for it is "bacterial SSU rRNA". It matches the Rfam family "Bacterial small subunit ribosomal RNA", at positions 28 to 510 of the family's 1533-position model. The record is from RNAcentral.
GACGAACGCUGGCGGCGCGCUUAACACAUGCAAGUCGAACGUGAAGCCGGGGCUUGCCCCGGUGGAAAGUGGCGAACGGGUGCGUAACACGUGAGCAACCUGCCCCGAAGACUGGGAUAACACCGGGAAACCGGUGCUAAUACCGGAUGCCCUCUUCUGAUCGCAUGGUCGGAUGAGGAAAUGGAUUCCGCUUCGGGAUGGGCUCGCGGCCUAUCAGCUUGUUGGUGAGGUAACGGCCCACCAAGGCGACGACGGGUAGCUGGUCUGAGAGGACGACCAGCCACACUGGGACUGAGACACGGCCCAGACUCCUACGGGAGGCAGCAGUGGGGAAUCUUGCUCAAUGGGCGAAAGCCUGAAGCAGCGACGCCGCGUGCGGGAUGAAGGCCCUCGGGUUGUAAACCGCUUUCAGCAGGGACGAAAUUGACGUACCUGCAGAAGAAGGCCCGGCCAACUACGUGCCA